This 530-nucleotide ribosomal RNA is filed under the name Burkholderia multivorans. Its description in RNAcentral is "bacterial SSU rRNA". It matches the Rfam family "Bacterial small subunit ribosomal RNA", at positions 1 to 513 of the family's 1533-position model. The record is from RNAcentral. Lineage: Bacteria; Pseudomonadati; Pseudomonadota; Betaproteobacteria; Burkholderiales; Burkholderiaceae.
UUUAUGGAGAGUUUGAUCCUGGCUCAGGAUGAACGCUGGCGGCGUGCCUAAUACAUGCAAGUCGAGCGAACAGAUAAGGAGCUUGCUCCUUUGACGUUAGCGGCGGACGGGUGAGUAACACGUGGAUAACCUACCUAUAAGACUGGGAUAACUUCGGGAAACCGGAGCUAAUACCGGAUAACAUAUUGAACCGCAUGGUUCAAUAGUGAAAGGCGGCUUUGCUGUAACUUAUAGAUGGAUCCGCGCCGUAUUAGCUAGUUGGUAAGGUAACGGCUUACCAAGGCAACGAUACGUAGCCGACCUGAGAGGGUGAUCGGCCACACUGGAACUGAGACACGGUCCAGACUCCUACGGGAGGCAGCAGUAGGGAAUCUUCCGCAAUGGGCGAAAGCCUGACGGAGCAACGCCGCGUGAGUGAUGAAGGUCUUCGGAUCGUAAAACUCUGUUAUCAGGGAAGAACAAAUGUGUAAGUAACUGUGCACAUCUUGACGGUACCUGAUCAGAAAGCCACGGCUAACUACGUGCCAGCA